RNAcentral lists this ribosomal RNA (252 nucleotides) under uncultured bacterium. RNAcentral's name for it is "partial 16S ribosomal RNA". It matches the Rfam family "Bacterial small subunit ribosomal RNA", at positions 524 to 776 of the family's 1533-position model. The record is from RNAcentral.
UACGUAGGUGGCGAGCGUUAUACGGAAUGAUUGGGCGUAAAGGGUGCGUAGGCGGCCUGCUAAGUCUGGAGUGAAAGGUACCGGCUCAACCGGUACAGGCUCUGGAAACUGGCGGGCUAGAGAGCAGGAGAGGGCGGUGGAACUCCAUGUGUAGCGGUAAAAUGCGUAGAUAUACGGAGGAACACCAGUGGCGAAGGCGGAUUGCUGGACAGUAACUGACGCUGAGGCGCGAAAGCGUGGGGAGCAAACAGG